This is a long non-coding RNA of Brienomyrus brachyistius, 1176 nucleotides long. RefSeq lists it as uncharacterized. The record is from RefSeq and is a predicted model, not a curated record. The transcript is spliced from 3 exons. Lineage: Eukaryota; Metazoa; Chordata; Actinopteri; Osteoglossiformes; Mormyridae.
GGAUAAAGAGGUUUAGUACAAAUGAAUGGUCAUCUGCGUCUGGUUAACAUCAGCCAAAUCUCAACAUCCCCGCAGUGACAACAUAUUCAGUGAGGCGCUUUUCUUGAGGAACUUAAGAGGUAGAUAAGGGGAUGCAUGCUGAUUACAGCGCAUUGCCACACCCACCACAGGGAUGAGAACCUGAGUGCAGCCAUGCAGUGGGUGAUACCUCAGCACCACGUUAGUCUGAAUGGACCAGUGUGAGUUUUUUCCGGAGGCUGGAGUGCCAAUCCUACCACCAACCCCCAAAUUUCCUGUAAGUUGGAGGACCUACUUACAGGGCUGGAUGAAGAUUAACGUCAGAGCUGGGCGGUGCACAAGCUCCUAAUUGCGGCAGAGCUGCUGCUGGGAGAGAUCCCAGACCAGCUGCUCUUCAGGAAGCCCUCACUGAAGUGGUCUAAUACCUUACUUCCUACUGACUCAAGGCAGGGACAUCAAGCAGAUCAGUUAUGGAGGUGGCUGAGGAUAAGGACCAGGGAGUGAAUGCCGUCAUGUCCUGUGAGGUCAUCACCUUGGAGAGCAAGCUCAGGUGUGACUUGCCGUUCGUGAAAUCGCUCGACAAGAGAGAUGAGGGAGUAGAGGCCAGGAACCCUAAGAGAAGCCACAGUGAACUGGUCUGCUUUCAACAUGAUCAUCUGGCACCUCCUGCUGGCUGCUGAAAUGACCUGCAAGCAUGAUCCCACACACAUACACUGAUUCACAGACACACCACUGUAGUACAAGCUCUGCUAUACUCUUUGACAAUCUAUCCCGUCUACUCUGUAGUGGUCUGUUAGAUCUGCACUUACACACCACCUCCAACAAUCAAAAUACACACACCUACUGGGCCAAGCUUAUUCAUCUUUCUGUAGAGUUUGACUAAAUGUAUGGGUAUUGAUUCUGGUAAAGCAUAUAUCUGCUUACAGUUUAAUCUUAACUGUGAUAGUGUUGAUGUAAACACAUUACAGCCUUAUAAACAUCUUUUAUAUCAUAUCAUUUGUGCUUUGAAGGUAUGGCUAAUUUUGUACUUUUGUAGUGUAAUUUUGUAUUUAUUAAUAUAAUUUUAAGAUACAUACUAGUUGUCAUGCCCACCUCGUGCGAUCCUCGUGUGUGCCACGCCCCCCUGAUCAUCCACGUGUGCUUCCCUGAUCGUAUCCA